UUUAAUGAAACUUUGUAUGAUUAAGACUUCGCACAGAGCGGAAAUGGUUAUGUGGAGACUCUGAUCGCCCUGUUUGCGGGGAUAUUUGAGUGGCACGGACACGCACGCCGCGCCGUGUCCUUCAGACAAUGAUCGUAGCGCUCCACCUGCUGUUUUAUACGGGCGCACAGGACAGUACGCAACACGUUAGUAUGUACACGUUAGUAUUAUUCGCUCAGACACUUUAGCUGGGAACACACAACAGCCCGAAAACGCGUGUGACGGAUGCGCCACGCGCUAUGAUAAACAAUACGCACGUACGCUCGCGGUGUUUAUUGAGUCUCGGCGGACAGCUCGGCUCUGCUCCGCUCCGUCUGGAGCCCGGCGCUCGGAACUAAACGGGCAAACAGCGCCGGCGGAGACGCGUCGUGCGCAAAUGUCCCGGUCUCGGCGUCUUUACAUGAGCCAAAACAACUUUUCACGAAUGAGUUAAAAUUAAAGAUGGCCGUAGAUGCUCGGAGGAAGUGGUUGCCAAGGGAAAAGGUCAUGCCAGGAAAACCGGGAGGAGACGACGGGGACGCGCACGCCGCCGACCAAUCAGAGAGCAGUCCGCUCGUCUGUCCCCGUCCGGUGGUCUGGAGCAGCCCUGCCACCCACGGGCGUCAAGUGGGUAUGGCAGGAGUCUGUGGACGCUGGGCUCGGCUCCACGACUGAGCCCAGGUACCAGGGGAUCUUCUCUCCAUGACCUCCUAAACUACACUGAGAAUUGCACAGUAUAUCGGGCUCCUGGGGAGGUGAUUGACAGCUCCGUUUCAACCAAUGGGAGUGCUCAAAGCUGCUGAUUGGCCAAAUAAGAACCACUAACAGGACUUCCCACUUGGCAAAUUUGAUCCUAUUUCCAGUUCUUCCGCACUGCUUUGUGACACGCCACUGGGGGUCGCUGCCUGCUCACAAUGAACAGUCGCGUUAAAAAAUACUUCUAAGGCUUCCCAGUUCAUUAUAGAGGCUGGAUUUAUGUUAGAAAGCUCUAAGCAAAGAGCUACACAACUAAGGCUUUUACUACGUGGUGGAUUCAGUGGAACUGCCGCUGAUGCACUGUUUUCCCCUUAAGGUAGGAUUAUGUAACACUGGACGCAUUUGUUUUUAAAAUUCCUUAGCUGGCAAAAUAAAACAGCUUUAAAAAUGUAAAAUGGCCUCA
Molecule: long non-coding RNA, 1177 nt
Filed under: Betta splendens (Siamese fighting fish)
Lineage: Eukaryota; Metazoa; Chordata; Actinopteri; Anabantiformes; Osphronemidae
Description: lncRNA (ENSBSLG00000022519.1)
Source: RNAcentral